AAACGUAGGGUGCAAGCGUUAUCCGGAUUCAUUGGGCGUAAAGGGUUCGUAGGCGGUUUGGUAAGUAUGUUGUCAAAGUCCACUGCUCAACGGUGGAAAGGCAAUGUAAACUGCCAAACUAGUGGAUUGUUGGGGAUUUUGGAAUUCCCGGUGGAGGAGUGAAAUCCGUGGAUAUCGGGAAGAACACCAAGGGCGAAGGCAGAAAUCUAAACAAUUCCAGACGCUGAGGAACGAAAGCUAGGGGAGCAAAGCGGAUUAGAGACCCGCGUAGUCCUAGCUGUAAACAUUUCUUGCUAGCUGUUCGGUCUUAGAUCGAGUGGCGUAAGCUAACGCGUUAAGCAAGACGCCUGGGAAGUACGACCGCAAGGUUAAA
RNAcentral lists this ribosomal RNA (373 nucleotides) under uncultured bacterium. RNAcentral describes it as "bacterial SSU rRNA". It matches the Rfam family "Bacterial small subunit ribosomal RNA", at positions 523 to 898 of the family's 1533-position model. The record is from RNAcentral.